RNAcentral lists this transfer RNA (74 nucleotides) under Myxococcales bacterium. RNAcentral describes it as "tRNA-Pro". It matches the Rfam family "tRNA". From Rfam's summary of the family: Transfer RNA (tRNA) molecules are approximately 80 nucleotides in length. Their secondary structure includes four short double-helical elements and three loops (D, anti-codon, and T loops). Further hydrogen bonds mediate the characteristic L-shaped molecular structure. tRNAs have two regions of fundamental functional importance: the anti-codon, which is responsible for specific mRNA codon recognition, and the 3' end, to which the tRNAs corresponding amino acid is attached (by aminoacyl-tRNA synthetases). tRNAs cope with the degeneracy of the genetic code in two manners: having more than one tRNA (with a specific anti-codon) for a particular amino acid; and 'wobble' base-pairing, i.e. permitting non-standard base-pairing at the 3rd anti-codon position. Lineage: Bacteria; Pseudomonadati; Myxococcota; Myxococcia; Myxococcales. RNAcentral also lists the same sequence under 1 other name. The record is from RNAcentral.
CGGGGUGUAGCUCAGCGACGCAGAGCGCUCGGUUCGGGACCGAGAGGCCGCAGGUGCAACUCCUGCCACUCCGA